AACAAACGCUGGCGGCGUGCCUAACACAUGCAAGUCGUACGAGAAAGUCGGCUUCGGCCGGUGAGUAAAGUGGCGCACGGGUGAGUAACGCGUGGAUAAUCUGCCCUCCGGUCAGGAAUAACCAAUCGAAAGGUUGGCUAAUACCCGAUCACACUCUUGCACUGCGGUGCAAUAGUCAAAGAUGGCCUCUGUAUACAAGCUAUCGCCGGGGGAUGAGUCCGCGUACCAUUAGCUGGUUGGUGGGGUAAUGGCCUACCAAGGCGAUGAUGGUUAGCUGGUCUGAGAGGAUGGCCAGCCACACUGGAACUGAGACACGGUCCAGACUCCUACGGGAGGCAGCAGUGAGGAAUCUUGCGCAAUGGGGAACCCUGACGCAGCAACGCCGCGUGAGUGAGGAAGGCCCUCGGGUCGUAAAGCUCUGUCAGGUGGGAAGAAUCGAUGAAGGUGAACAACCUCCAUCCUUGACGGUACCACCAGAGG
RNAcentral lists this ribosomal RNA (480 nucleotides) under uncultured bacterium. RNAcentral's name for it is "bacterial SSU rRNA". It matches the Rfam family "Bacterial small subunit ribosomal RNA", at positions 29 to 487 of the family's 1533-position model. The record is from RNAcentral.